This 433-nucleotide ribosomal RNA is filed under the name uncultured bacterium. RNAcentral describes it as "partial 16S ribosomal RNA". It matches the Rfam family "Bacterial small subunit ribosomal RNA", at positions 29 to 507 of the family's 1533-position model. The record is from RNAcentral.
AACGAACGCUGGCGGCAUGCCUAACACAUGCAAGUCGAACGAGACCUUCGGGUCUAGUGGCGCACGGGUGCGUAACGCGUGGGAACCUGCCCUUAGGCUCGGAAUAACUCCCCGAAAGGGGUGCUAAUACCGGAUAAUGUCUUCGGACCAAAGAUUUAUCGCCUUUGGAUGGGCCCGCGCUGGAUUAGCUAGUUGGUAGGGUAAAAGCCUACCAAGGCGACGAUCCAUAGCUGGUCUGAGAGGAUGAUCAGCCACACUGGGACUGAGACACGGCCCAGACUCCUACGGGAGGCAGCAGUGGGGAAUAUUGGACAAUGGGCGAAAGCCUGAUCCAGCAAUGCCGCGUGAGUGAUGAAGGCCUUAGGGUUGUAAAGCUCUUUUACCCGGGAUGAUAAUGACAGUACCGGGAGAAUAAGCUCCGGCUAACUCCGUG